This 101-nucleotide non-coding RNA is filed under the name Streptomyces sp. RNAcentral describes it as "Glycine sequence". It matches the Rfam family "Glycine riboswitch aptamer". From Rfam's summary of the family: This family represents the bacterial glycine riboswitch. Glycine riboswitches usually consist of two metabolite-binding aptamers domains with similar structures in tandem. The aptamers cooperatively bind glycine to regulate the expression of downstream genes. RNAcentral also lists the same sequence under 1 other name. The record is from RNAcentral. Lineage: Bacteria; Bacillati; Actinomycetota; Actinomycetes; Kitasatosporales; Streptomycetaceae.
UGAAUCCGCGCGGGAGAGUCCCCGGCAGCAUGUCUGCACGGGGCGCCGAAGGAGCAAGUCCCUCCCUUGAAUCUCUCAGGCCCCGUUACCGCGCGGGCGAG